AGCAGGCUGAAUUUUGGAGAACCAAAAUUUAGAUUAAAGAGGACCGUUUCAGACUGAUCAUAAGUAGAUACUUAUAGAGGCCAGAUAUUUGUACGGCUAAAAGAGAACCUCUUCUCUUUUAGAUCCAAAUUCGAAGAAAAAGAUUGCGAAACAGAUAUGUGAUUUAAUCACAAUCUGAAUUUCAGCAUAUAUUAAUUUCAGCAUAUGAGAUAGAUUCAUAUGGUUUUAUAUUUUCAUGCAUGCAUAUUUUAGAUUAACAGUGUUUUAAUUUUAUUCUCUACUAUAAUAUUUAGAAAAUAAAAUUUUUAAAAUACAAAUACAUGCACUAAACCCCGAAUUCCAAUACAUUAUUGUCUCGUUUUGUAAGGGACAAGUAUUUAAAUUUAUGUACAAAUUUUAUAUUAUUGAACGAUGCCCUGCUUUCUCUUUAAUGAAUGUAUAUUUUAUUAUCAUGAUUGAAUGAUUAUACAAUGAAUUGAAUGCUUUUGUGAUGAUUACCCACUUUUUGACGAUGAUGAAAGGAAAAAUUAUAAAGAGAAUCAUACAAGCAACAAACAAAAAAUAUUAAGUAAAAAUAAGAAAAAUUAAAAUUAAGACAAUUGAAAAAAAAGGGAAUGAAUCAAAUGAAAAUAAAUAAAAAAAGUAGUUUGAUCAAGUUGAAUGUCUUUUGAAAUUUUGAAUGAUUGCCUAGUUAUGUAAGAAAGGGGGAGUUUGUUUGAAAAAUUCAUUGACUAAAUCAUCUUAACAACCCUACCUUUUCUACAUAAGAAAGAGGGAGCUUUGUUAAAUAUCUAAAAUUUACUUGUUAAAAUUUAAAAUUUGUUUAAGGCUUGAAAGGUUGUAUUCAAAGAAUUUUGUCAUCAUUAAAAAAAGAUAGAUUGUUAGUUCUAGAAUUAAUUUUGAUGAUGUCAAAAUUAUUUGAAUACAAAUUAUGCUCAUUAAUAACAUGUUUGAGAGUGAUUAAAGGACUCCUCAAAGUGCUCAAUGGUUUUACUUAAAAAAGUUGUCUUCUCAAAAAAAUUUAAGUUUUCAAAUCUAAGACCUUCAAUUGGAAGCAAUAAAUCCAAAGAUUUGAAAAAAAAAAUUUAAUCUAGAAAUACCUCUCAACAAGUCCAUAUAUACACCAUUCAAUUUAAGAAGACGAGUCUAGCCUAGAACAAAGUUGGUUAAGAAAAGCUAUCAAAAAUAUCUUUUGGCAUGCUUGGUAUGGAGCUG
RNAcentral lists this long non-coding RNA (1215 nucleotides) under Elaeis guineensis (African oil palm). Its description in RNAcentral is "long non-coding RNA (EGUI_LNC065818)". Lineage: Eukaryota; Viridiplantae; Streptophyta; Magnoliopsida; Arecales; Arecaceae. The record is from RNAcentral.